Molecule: long non-coding RNA, 1064 nt
Organism: Olea europaea var. sylvestris
Lineage: Eukaryota; Viridiplantae; Streptophyta; Magnoliopsida; Lamiales; Oleaceae
Exons: 2
Source: RefSeq, a predicted model, not a curated record
CCAAAAUUUAUGUUUGAUUCACAAUCUGACUUUGUCAAAUUUGUUUCUGUUUGUACAUGUGCCUGCCUGCAUUUGUUGUCUAUCACAUAAAAUGCAAUCUAAAGAUUCAUAGUUACCUAAGUUGCACAGACACAUGCACGGACAGCAACAUUUAAGCCCCUGUUUGUUUCCCAUUAUUUGUUCAUUAAAAUGAAAAAUAUGAUCGUUAUCCAUCAUAUCAAGCCAACAUAUUUGACUUUCCAUCUUUGUGUGGGGUCCAUAACGACUAUAUUUUUCAUUCUCAUUCUUCUAUUAAUGUGGUUCAAAUGGGGCCUAACUAUUGGAAAGGUAGGACAUGACGCAUUGGAAACAAGUCGAUUUUGAAUUCUUUGAAAUUUAAAAUUUAUAUACAGUAUCUUUAUUUUUAUAUAGGACACGGCCACAUGGCAUAUCGAAAACUUACUUAGGGAUGUCUCUAAAGUAUCCUUUUAGUGUUGAUAAUUUAAAAAUUAUAUAACAAAUUGGACAAGGGCAUGUAUUGGCUACAUGUUCUCGAGUAGUGUCUGACUGUCGAGGUUGGACACGAUACGGCAUGACACGUGUUGGAGACAGACACAUUGACCUCGCAAGUGUUCGUGCAUCAUAAGUAGUCACAACUUCAGCAUUCUCCUAUCUCUUGUGCUUCCUGCAGUAAAAUUUUGCAGUAUUUUAAUCUUAAUAACAUGCUGGAAACAGUUUUCAUCAAGACUCUCUCCUGGUAAUUUUUCGUCAUUAAAAGAAAUCGCUCCAAGUCCAGCCCUGUGAUUUCCUACUCUUUUCUUUAGCCGAAAGGUCAAAAAUUUAGCAGCCAUGAAGAGUAAAGUAGUGCAGAGGAACCAUAGUGUUACUCCCAUGAAGAAACCAGUUGUUAGUUCCAGAUUUGCAGCUUCUUCAUCCUCCAAAACUCGCUAAGCCACUGUAAACGAGACUCAACAUGGCCUCAAUGAAUCUUUGACUCUCUAUUUUGAGUAAGCAAUGUUGUAAAUUAUGUACUUACAAGCAUCAGAACACAAUAUAUAUUUCAGUACAAUUGUUCCUCUGUUUAU